AAACUGUCCCCAGCCUUCACACUUUUUUAGUACCCAGUAGAUUUGUCCUGCAACAACAGGGUGCCUGGCACAAGGAGAUACUCAGUAAAACUCUCAUCUGCUGUGUCAUUAAGGGGAACACUUAAUGGCUCACGCCUGUAAUCCCAGCACUUUGGGAGGCCGAGGCGGGAGGAUCAUCUGAGCCCAGGAGUUGGAGACCAGCUUGGGCAACAGAGUGAGACCCUGUCUCAACAAAGAAGAAGAAGAAAAAGGCCAGGCGCCGUGGCUUAUGUCUGUAAUCCCAGCACUUUGGGAGGCCAAGAAGGGAGAACUGCUUGAGGCCAGGAGUUCGAGACCAGCCUGGUCAACAUAGCGAGACACACCCCCCCAUCUCAAAAAUAAAUAAAUCAAAAUAAAAAAUAAAGAGGAGGCCGG
This 414-nucleotide long non-coding RNA is filed under the name Pan troglodytes (chimpanzee). Its description in RNAcentral is "long non-coding RNA NONPTRT015138". Lineage: Eukaryota; Metazoa; Chordata; Mammalia; Primates; Hominidae. The record is from RNAcentral.